GGGAGAUGCUCGGAGCCUGGUGGAGGGAUACAGCAUGUGUGCCAUGCAGCUCUUCAGCCAAGAAACGCCAGAGCGGCGCCGAUGUGCUCAGACAGUGGGCGGCCGCAGUGCCUAUGGCGGAGGCAGGGGCCAGGUCAUCCCCCACCCACGCCGGGAGGGCCCGGGGGAGGGAGCCUGCCUGUGCCGUCAUAUGACAGUGCUCUGGCCAGAAGGACCUUGUGUACAGUUCGAAUCUGCCUGGGAAUAGAGGGCCUGGGUGGAACUCUCUGGCUAAACGCUUCCGUCUCUCCAUGGCCCAAGUCAGCUCUUCCCUCAUGCCAGCCAGAGCAGAAAGGCAGUGUAGGUGUUUCCCCAGGAGCCAGUGGCCUGGGGCUGGGGUUGGCGUUUGGCCUCUUAAGAGCCUAUCUUUUUAUUUCUUUUUCAGUGGUCUGUAUUCCAAAUCCAGACCAAUCUCAUCAAAGCCUCAGGUGCUAUUCAAUCUCAUGGCACCUGGAGAAAGGAAGCGGAAUCCACCCAGGCCAGAGAAGCCCCGCCGUGGGGAGCAGCACAGGACCCCCGUACAGAAGCAGCUCCCCAAGAAUGGACUGCCUCCGCAGACCUGGGCGCCCCUCCAGCGCAGCGACUCCUCCAGGGUUGGGAGCCGCUCCUGCAGUUCUGCCGAUGACCACCAGGGGUCAGGCGCGGCUCUGCAUCUCUCUCCUGGGCUCCAGGACUGGACUGCGAGGGCGACCACAGGAUGCCCGCAGCUUCGCGGGGAGGCCUGGGGCCACCCCCGCUCCCCAGCCCAGGGCCCCUGCGGCAGCCGCUUCCCACGGCGGGCAUGGCUGCUGUCUCCUUGGUGAUGUCGCCAACCCCUCCGGCAAUCGCACGGCCCGGGAGAGGCAGCACCCUGGCCGGGAGAGGCAGCGCCCCGACCACACACGGCAGAUGCUUGCUGACUCCAGCAGCUCGGAGCUACCAAGCCCUGCUGCCUCCUUCCUUGUGCUCCGGGGCACAGGCCACAUGGCCGGACUCUGACCAGCACAGGUGCUCUGUGUGGUUGAAGGCACACCUCUUUCAGUCCCCACUGCGGGCUUACAAGGUAGGACAUGGUAAAAAGGAUACUGAAGCUCAGACAGGCUAAAAUACACCCAGCCAGGAAGCAGGAGGGGGUGGCAACGGAUCCAAGAGAGCCAGGGGCUUGAGCGAGAUGGCAGGGUUCCCACAGCACCUUACCUCCCCAUGGGCACCCAGUCUGUGGAUCAUCCAAACUCCUUUCCAGACACGAGCAACAACUCUGCCAUCCUGGCCUGGCACCUCGGUGGGGGUGUCAGGGACCCAGAGGCGCAAGGCAG
Molecule: long non-coding RNA, 1334 nt
Filed under: Bos mutus (wild yak)
Lineage: Eukaryota; Metazoa; Chordata; Mammalia; Artiodactyla; Bovidae
Description: lncRNA (ENSBMUG00000000190.1)
Source: RNAcentral